GACAGAGGGUGCAAACGUUGUUCGGAAUUACUGGGCGUAAAGCGCGUGUAGGCGGCCAUGCAAGUCGGAUGUGAAAGCCCUCGGCUCAACCGGGGAAGUGCACUCGAAACUGCAAGGCUAGAGUCUCGGAGAGGAUCGUGGAAUUCUCGGUGUAGAGGUGAAAUUCGUAGAUAUCGGGAGGAACACCAAUGGCGAAAGCAGGUAACUGGACUAUUACUGACACUCAACUGCGAAAGCUAGGGGAGCAAACAGG
RNAcentral lists this ribosomal RNA (253 nucleotides) under uncultured bacterium. RNAcentral's name for it is "partial 16S ribosomal RNA". It matches the Rfam family "Bacterial small subunit ribosomal RNA", at positions 524 to 776 of the family's 1533-position model. The record is from RNAcentral.